GAUUUCUUCGGUAAAGAGCGGCGGACGGGUGAGUAACGCGUGGGUAACCUACCCUGUACACACGGAUAACAUACCGAAAGGUAUGCUAAUACGGGAUAAUAUAUUUGGGAGGCAUCUCCUGAAUAUCAAAGGUGAGCCAGUACAGGAUGGACCCGCGUCUGAUUAGCUAGUUGGUAAGGUAACGGCUUACCAAGGCGACGAUCAGUAGCCGACCUGAGAGGGUGAUCGGCCACAUUGGAACUGAGACACGGUCCAAACUCCUACGGGAGGCAGCAGUGGGGAAUAUUGCACAAUGGGCGAAAGCCUGAUGCAGCAACGCCGCGUGAGUGAUGAAGGCCUUCGGGUCGUAAAACUCUGUCCUCAAGGAAGAUAAUGACGGUACUUGAGGAGGAAGCCCCGGCUAACUACGUGCCAGCAGCCGCGGUAAUACGUAGGGGGCUAGCGUUAUCCGGAUUUACUGGGCGUAAAGGGUGCGUAGGCGGUCUUUCAAGUCAGGAGUGAAAGGCUACGGCUCAACCGUAGUAAGCUCUUGAAACUGGGAG
Molecule: ribosomal RNA, 542 nt
Filed under: uncultured bacterium
Lineage: Bacteria
Description: bacterial SSU rRNA
Rfam family: Bacterial small subunit ribosomal RNA
Source: RNAcentral